GAGAUAUAGAGAUAUAGAGAUAGAGAGAGAGACACACACACACACACCUUCCUCUCUCCAUGUUCCAAAUUAUGAAACUGGCAGGAGGUUUUCAGUAGGAGGGAGGAAGCACACUCUGGUUCUACUCCCUGUAUUAUCCUCCCUCUCUUCUCUCUUUUUCCUCUCUUAUCUCCUCUCUCUUUUCCACUCUCCUCUCUGUGCUGGUGGAGAAGGGCCUUUGAUGUUGCUUCUUCUGAGGGACCAAGGGAGAGAUAUGGGGGUGGAGGGGAAGAGGGACUGCCUGGGGUUCAUGCCGACCCUGCAUGCUUUCAACAUCAAUAGUGCAGUUUUAUUGGUGUGUGUGAUAUGACCAAUGACUAACAGCUGAGAUGAUUUAAGCAGCUUUGGGAAUAUAUCUUUUGUCAUCCAGCACUGCCACUGCUAGUCUCCUGAGGAAAUUCACAAACUUUUCAUUCAACCCGUUUAGCACAGACUAAACUGACAAAGACAUGGACGGAGCAGGACCAAAUAAAAGCUAAACAGUACUUUAAAAUAUAGUUUGAAAAUGCAUAUUAUGGCAAAUAAUGUAUUGUGCAUCAAUUUAUUUCAUUUUGCCUCUCAGUUUAGCACAAACAUAUCUGACAAAGACACGCUCAAAGACUCUACAUUUUGAGGCAAAUGGUAUCAUGUGAAAUAUUGUUGUUUUGAUGUUAUACAGAACUAUUUCACUUGUUAUUGGUUGUAUGCUGAAAGACUUGAUGUUAGUGGAUAUAUUGAUGGCUAUCACAAAUGUUGUGAUUUUACGUUGGAGCAAAAAUAAACUAGCCUACUUUUCAAGAAUCGCUGAUGUUCAAUUCUCAAUGGCUGACGCUCUCUUUCAACCUAUCUUGUGAAUUGAAAUAAUGAGUAAUAAAGUUGAUUUUGGUUGGUUUCUGUGUAGCAGGUAGAACGUCACAUUGAUGGCACAUUGAUGACGACGCAUGCAGUGGAGCAGAAGUGUUAUCCCCUAAAUUAUUUCUAAUAUUUUCCAAUAAUUGGUUUACGGGACUGUGAACGCCCAACGGUUGGGAGUGGCAGCGCUGUGGCCUAUGUUGUAUUUUGGUUUGAAGUUGACACAGGGUUUUAACGUGGAAAACAAUAUAAUAGAACAUAAUGUGAAAAUGUGCAAACGAUUGUAAAUGUUUUAUAAUCAUUCAUAAAAUAUCAAAGUCUCAAGUUUUUACUUUUGUAAUAAAGUAGCACCUUAAAACGUG
This 1232-nucleotide long non-coding RNA is filed under the name Salmo salar (Atlantic salmon). RNAcentral's name for it is "lncRNA (ENSSSAG00000102247.1)". Lineage: Eukaryota; Metazoa; Chordata; Actinopteri; Salmoniformes; Salmonidae. The record is from RNAcentral.